RNAcentral lists this long non-coding RNA (314 nucleotides) under Glycine max (soybean). Its description in RNAcentral is "long non-coding RNA (GMAX_LNC002486)". The record is from RNAcentral. Lineage: Eukaryota; Viridiplantae; Streptophyta; Magnoliopsida; Fabales; Fabaceae.
AGAAUCAUUAAGGACGACAAAACUCUUCAUUUAAGUAUUUAACACGAUUGUGUAUUCAGGACUCAAAUCUGAGACCUCUAAGCUGAAACAAUCUCAUAUCAGUUGAUCCUUGGUGGUGUUUAUAGUUUACUCGGUUAGUGCAUGUAUUCAAGUUUUUAUUACACAAUUGCAAAAAUAAGCCAAGUAUUGCCUACCUGACCAAUGAGGCCUGUGUCCAGCAUCCACUCCCAAGGGAUAUGGAAACUCCUAUAUCUUAUACUUGCACUCUCCCUUGUCCUCUCUGCACUGUUCACACUUCUCUCCAACCUGCACAC